GGAAACGAUGAUAGCUUGCUAUCAGGCGUCGAGAGGCGGACGGGUGAGUAAUACUUAGGAAUCUACCUAGUAGYYSSSGWUAGCUCGGGGAAACUCGAAUUAAUACCGCAUACGACCUACGGGAGAAAGGGGGCAGUUUACUGCUCUCGCUAUUAGAUGAGCCUAAGUCGGAUUAGCUAGAUGGUGGGGUAAAGGCCUACCAUGGCGACGAUCUGUAGCUGGUCUGAGAGGAUGAUCAGCCACACCGGGACUGAGACACGGCCCGGACUCCUACGGGAGGCAGCAGUGGGGAAUAUUGGACAAUGGGGGAAACCCUGAUCCAGCCAUGCCGCGUGUGUGAAGAAGGCCUUUUGGUUGUAAAGCACUUUAAGCAGUGAAGAAGACUCUUCGGUUAAUACCCGGWKWCKWUKWCAUUAGCUGCAGAAUAAGCACCGGCUAACUCUGUGCCAGCAGCCGCGGUAAUACAGAGGGUGCAAGCGUUAAUCGGAAUUACUGGGCGUAAAGGGAGCGUAGGUGGCUCGAUAAGUCAGAUGUGAAAUCCCCCGGGCUCAACCCUGGGAACUGCAUCUGAUACUGUUGAGCUAGAGUAUGUGAGAGGAAGGUAGAAAUUYCCAGGYGUAGCGSUGAAAUGCGUAGAGAU
RNAcentral lists this ribosomal RNA (640 nucleotides) under Psychrobacter cryohalolentis. RNAcentral describes it as "partial 16S ribosomal RNA". It matches the Rfam family "Bacterial small subunit ribosomal RNA", at positions 68 to 697 of the family's 1533-position model. Lineage: Bacteria; Pseudomonadati; Pseudomonadota; Gammaproteobacteria; Moraxellales; Moraxellaceae. The record is from RNAcentral.